This 253-nucleotide ribosomal RNA is filed under the name uncultured bacterium. Its description in RNAcentral is "partial 16S ribosomal RNA". It matches the Rfam family "Bacterial small subunit ribosomal RNA", at positions 524 to 776 of the family's 1533-position model. The record is from RNAcentral.
UACAGAGGGUGCGAGCGUUAAUCGGAGUUACUGGGCGUAAAGGGCGCGUAGGCGGUUGUUUAAGUGAGCUGUGAAAUCCCUGGGCUUAACCUAGGAACUGCAGCUCAUACUGGACAGCUAGAGUACUGUAGAGGGUAGUGGAAUUUCCGGUGUAGCGGUGAAAUGCGUAGAGAUCGGAAGGAACACCAGUGGCGAAGGCGGCUACCUGGACAGAUACUGACGCUGAGGCGCGAGAGCGUGGGGAGCAAACAGG